Hydra vulgaris (swiftwater hydra) is the source of this 1155-nucleotide non-coding RNA. The record is from RefSeq and is a predicted model, not a curated record. NCBI's taxonomy places the organism in Eukaryota, Metazoa, Cnidaria, Hydrozoa, Anthoathecata, Hydridae.
UGCAGGUCGUCCUAAUAAACGUUUAUCACAUGACUACUCUAUGGAAACCGCUGAUGGCAUGCGCCACACUAUUGCAACUACAACUAUUGAAUGUGACCUUGGAGUUCUCAUAUCAAACGAUCUGAAAGUCAGAGCACAAGUUGAAAAAGCAGCAUCCACAGCCAAUCGCAUGUUAGGAAAGCUAAAAAAAGCUUUCCAGAGUAGAAAUUUAACCUUGUGGCGCACACUCUAUAUGUCUUAUGUCCGGCCACAUCUAGAAUUCGCCAUUCAAGCCUGGUCACCGUAUCUCGAAACAGACAAUAAGUUACUUGAGGAUGUUCAAGACCGCGUCGCUAGACAAUAUCAUCUAUCAUCAAUUUUGAUAAAAUAAAGCGUCUGCAGGUACUCAAACUAACCACCCUCGAAGAACGUCGUUUACGUAGUGAUAUAAUCGAACAAUUCGUGUCUAAACAUAAUUAUUAUGUAUUAUGAUAAUACUAUAAUAUGCGUUAUAUUUCUUAAUUUUAUUAUGAGAGGAGAUUUAUUAGGAUAGUAUUCUAAGAUGCUACUCUAAGAGAUUUAUUAGAAUAAUAUUCUUUUUUUAGGUUUCUUCUUGUUGUCCCUGGCCACUAGCAUUAUGUUUUGUUGCAUGUUAUCAGACUUGUAUGGUCACUACUUUUGAAGCCUUUCUGACUGAACAAUACCCAGCUGUUUGUCAUCAAUGCCAUUUAUAUCAUGUGAUGUAACACUGACUGCUAUCACUUUAAAAAAAAAGUUAGUUAAAGUCUUCUUCAAUCUGUUUCACUCAUUUAGUACGAAUCAGCAGUGAACUUAUACAGAAAUUAUCAAACAAGUUGGAAGACUAAAAACUUUGAUACACUCAAAAAGUCACUUUUCAAGUUUAAUUAUUUCCUUUCGAAAUUGAAUAUACAAUCAAUACCAAAUUAGAGUCACAAAGUAAAUUUAACUUUCUUAAAGCAAUAUUUUAAAUAAAAAAAAUUUAGAAGAAAACUUGUGAUUGUUGUGUUGUUUCUUCUUCCUAUAAAUUAACCUUAUUAUUUAGCAACUAAAUUUUCUUUUUAAUUUAUAAUGUAUUUUAAAAGAAAAAUUUGAAAGAAAAAAUGUUGUAUUUUAUAAUAUUAAAAAAAAAGAACAGGCUAAAACUUUUCUAUAUUA